GGAAGGGUGCAGGAGUGGUUGAACUGGCACGCCUGGAACGCGUGUAGAGGAGCAAUCUUCUCGAGGGUUCGAAUCCCUCUCCUUCCGCCA
Molecule: transfer RNA, 90 nt
Filed under: Candidatus Saccharimonadota bacterium
Lineage: Bacteria; Candidatus Saccharimonadota
Also listed under: 1 other name
Description: tRNA-Ser
Rfam family: tRNA
About the family: Transfer RNA (tRNA) molecules are approximately 80 nucleotides in length. Their secondary structure includes four short double-helical elements and three loops (D, anti-codon, and T loops).
Source: RNAcentral